This is a small nucleolar RNA of Zingiber officinale, 106 nucleotides long. NCBI's taxonomy places the organism in Eukaryota, Viridiplantae, Streptophyta, Magnoliopsida, Zingiberales, Zingiberaceae. The record is from RefSeq and is a predicted model, not a curated record.
AAACCAUGGUGGGGGCACUAUCUUAGUAAACUCUUAAAUCUGCCCAAUGUUUCAAAUAAUGAUUCUCUAUCUUCCUGAAUAAAAUUUGUGAUUUUGUUCAUCAUAU